CAGCAGCCGCGGGAAAACGAAGGGGGCUAGCGUUGUUCGGAUUUACUGGGCGUAAAGGGCGCGUAGGCGGGCUGAUAAGUCAGGGGUGAAAUCCCAAGGCUCAACCUUGGAACUGCCUUUGAUACUGUUUGUCUUGAGUUCGAGAGAGGUAAGUGGAACUGCGAGUGUAGAGGUGAAAUUCGUAGAUAUUCGCAAGAACACCAGUGGCGAAGGCGGCUUACUGGCUCGAAACUGACGCUGAGGCGCGAAAGCGUGGGGAGCAAACAGGAUUAGAUACCCCCGUAGUCCCUGUCUCUUAUAA
RNAcentral lists this ribosomal RNA (301 nucleotides) under uncultured bacterium. RNAcentral's name for it is "partial 16S ribosomal RNA". It matches the Rfam family "Bacterial small subunit ribosomal RNA", at positions 509 to 809 of the family's 1533-position model. The record is from RNAcentral.